AUCUCCUGGACUGACCCAUGUUGCUGGUGCCCAGUCCCCCUGACCUCAGGAGAGCCAGACCCACCCUCAGCAGAAGACCCCUCUGGUGGCCCCUCCCCAACCGCUCCACUCAGGAGUCUCAGGUGACCCCACUGCAGAUGUGCUUCAGCACAGAGGGUAUCACAUGUGGCCACCACCAAGAUCACUUCUGCGAUAGCAGGAGUGGAGAUGACUGUCCUGGGGCUUGCCCCACGCCAUCUGCAGAGCAGGCCAGAGGUCUCAGGAGAGAGGACCCUGGAGGAGUGCCAGCCCCAGACCCAGUAGGUGGUCCUCGUGGUCUUAGCCCCACGUUCCUGAGAGGUAAGGGCCCUCCCCCAGCAGAAAGCCCACAGGCCUCACCCUGGCUGCUUCCCGUUGUGUGCCAGUAUCCAGAAGACGUCACCUGCGCCCUGGGCUCACACACUCAUCACCGCAGCAGAGAGAGCCAGAGCCAGCAGGCCUGGCCAGUGUAUCAUGCCAAGUCCCAGACAAUAAACGCUCCAGGAGGAACAUGUCCUAUGCCGUUGUGCUGUUGGUCCCAGGGCUUGCUUCCAUCUCAGAAGGGCUGCUGCACCCUGGAGAGACGAGAGGUGGGGAGUGGAGCAACACACGUGGCACCUGGGUGCCCGAUGACAGAGACCCCUGAGAUACCAUGGCCUCCGUGGUUGCACUCCUGGAUUCCGAGCUGUGACAUUUCCUGUUGUUUCUCCUUCCCUGGUGGACAAGGGGCUUCCUGCCGCUGUUAGUCUCUGCAUGGCCUUUCCUUCCUGCCUUCAAUACCCAGGAAAUGAAAUCCUUCUCUUUUUGACAUAGUAACUCAAUUUUGGGGCCUGGACUUCCAGGCACCCCAGCACCCUCAUCCUUCCAGGCCCAGCGGCAGGUUGGAGGCAGCAGCAGCCAUCUUGGGCCUUUGUGUUCCCCCUAUUGGGGGCCCUGUGGAAUACAGUGAGGUAGCAAGAGGGGGCGCCCCUCCUUCCAAACCCCAAGUGGGCUGCUGGCUGUGGCUUCCUUCUCCAGCCGAGUCUGGGGCCUGGAGCCGCCAGAAACCGCAGACUCUCCGCGGGGGUCAGGGGACACCCAGGUGAGACUCCGCUGUCCAGCUUGCCUUGGCUCCACCUCUCAGCCUCCGUGCUAAGGACCCUCGCUGCUAAAACUGAGCGAUACUGGAAGGCGUCGCAAGGCUGUCGCGAGGAAUGACAAAUUCACAAGGCACCUAGCAAACUGCUGUUGUUUCUUUCAGGUCUAUUUUACCCAAAGUUUGGGGGUUAAAGCAGAUGUUUAGCUGGCAUGAUAACGGACAGUACUUUAUGAUGAAAGCCAACACGGACGUGUAACUCAGAAAUCGCUGCACUGUCAUGGACUUUCAAGAUACGUUUUAUCUUGGUCUUUUUAGACCACGGAAAAGCUAGGCCCUCGGGCUACCCUCGGGCUCCUCCACCAGAUGGGACCCCACCGGAAUCCCAGGACCCUGGCCGCUCCGCCCCUUAUCUUCCCGCACACCAGGAUCGAGCCCGCUGCCCCGGGCACGUCGCAGCACUCUGCUCCGGCGCGUCGCGUGCCUGCGGCCGGGUUGCCAAGCUCCGCCCGCUACCAGCAGCACCUUUGGCUGGCGGGCUCACGCAUAUACAAAAUCUAAGCACUAGCAAGUACUAAGCAGGCCCGACCCUGCUUAGCAUCCGAAAUCAGAAGACAUCGGGCGCGUUCAAGGUGGUAUUGAG
This is a long non-coding RNA of Bos indicus x Bos taurus (hybrid cattle), 1736 nucleotides long. Lineage: Eukaryota; Metazoa; Chordata; Mammalia; Artiodactyla; Bovidae. The record is from Ensembl.